This 404-nucleotide ribosomal RNA is filed under the name uncultured bacterium. Its description in RNAcentral is "bacterial SSU rRNA". It matches the Rfam family "Bacterial small subunit ribosomal RNA", at positions 355 to 776 of the family's 1533-position model. The record is from RNAcentral.
UGGGGGAUAUUGCACAAUCGACGAAACUCUGAUGCAGCGAUGCCGCGUGAGGGAAGAAGGGUUUCGGAUUGUAAACCUCUGUGGAGGGGGACGAUAAUGACGGUACCCCUUUAGGAAGCCACGGCUAACUACGUGCCAGCAGCCGCGGUAAUACGUAGGUGGCGAGCGUUGUCCGGAAUUACUGGGUGUAAAGGGAGCGUAGGCGGGAGAGCAAGUCAGAAGUGAAAAUUAUGGGCUUAACCCAUAACCUGCUUUUGAAUCUGUUUUUCUUGAGUAAGACAGAGGCAAGCGGAAUUCCUAGUGUAGCGGUGAAAUGCGUAGAUAUUAGGAGGAACACCAGUGGCGAAGGCGGCUUGCUGGGUCUUUACUGACGCUGAGGCUCGAAAGCGUGGGGAGCAAACAGG